GCGGGAGUAGCUCAACUGGUUAGAGCAUCCGCCUGUCACGCGGAAGGCUGCGGGUUCGAGUCCCGUCUCUCGCG
RNAcentral lists this transfer RNA (74 nucleotides) under Minisyncoccota bacterium. RNAcentral describes it as "tRNA-Asp". It matches the Rfam family "tRNA". Rfam says of the family: Transfer RNA (tRNA) molecules are approximately 80 nucleotides in length. The record is from RNAcentral. Lineage: Bacteria; Bacillati; Minisyncoccota.